CGUUAGAUCAAGGGAUCUAAUCUAAACCGUUGAUAAGCCCAAACCCUAACAAACCCUAAACUUCGAUUCCAUUAAAAACAAACCCAAAAACAAAACCCAAAAACAAAGAAAGCAAGCAGCCAAGCCUCACGCGAAAUAGCGAACUCGCGAACUGCUCCUCGCCUCCUCCCAGCUUGCCUCGCCGGCUCGCCGCCCUGCUUUCAACCCACGUCGACGUCGUACCCCCAGUUCUAGAUUUGUUGUUUGUUCUUGUUCUUCAUUCUUCAUUUGAUUUUAUUUGCGUUCUUGUGAAUUUUUUUGACUUUCAUUUAGUUCUUCGUUCUUCAUUCUUGUCUUGUUUUUGUGCUUUCUUUCUGGCUUUCAUUCUUCGUUUUUGUUUUAAUUUAGUUCUUCAUUCUUCAUUCUUGUUCUUGUUACUUUUUAUUAGCGUUUUUGUGCUUUUUUUUUUUAGUAUCAUUCGGUUUUAUUUUGGUUACUUUUUAUUUUGAUUUUUGAUUUCUUAUUCUUGUUUUCAUACUUGGUUUCAUGUUCUUGUUUUUGUUAUUGAUUUCAGUUUUUGAUUUUGAUGGAGAUUUCAUUUUAUUCAGAUUUUGUUGUUAGGGUUUUGUUUCUUCGGACGGAGCUGCAGUUUUCCACUCAUUUCACUGUAAGAUUCAAAUUUUAUAAUUGUUUUCAUUCAAGUAUUGAUUUUCUAUCCUGUUUUUUUUUUUCCUACAAUUUUUUGUCAUUUUCGGAUAAUUUCAUUGUUAAAUGCUGCAUUUUCGGAUAAUUUUCUAUCCUGAGUUGAUUGAUUUUGUGUUGAUUAUAUGGUUAUAAUUGGAAUUGAAAUUUUAUUUUUUUAAUUAAUUGUUUGCAAGUUUUGAUUUUGAUUGAGUUUUAUUAUUAUUUUUGUUGUUUUGAAUUUCAUUCAUUAAGCUGUUGGACAUGUCAUAGGUGGUUAUAGCGUGCUUUACGUGGAAAUUGUGAUUGGGUUUAUCAUCAUUUUGGGAUUUAAGUGUGUCAUCUGUAUAAUUGUUGUAAUUAGUUUGUUUGCUUUGGAGAUAUCUGUAUAAUUGUAUAAUUGUUGGGAUUUAAGCGUGCUUUGCUUUGGAGACAUGUCAUAGGUGGGUUGUUUUCUAUUUUUUUGUUCGUAUGAUGAAUGUUUGGGUUAAUUUGCUAAAUCAGUUGCUAGAUUCAUGUUCAUGUUGGCAAAUAAAAUCAGGUAUUUUGUAUGAUGAAUGUUCAUGUUCAAAUGUACUGUUUAUCUUCUUGAUGUUUUUAAAGUCGUUUUUAAGGAGAUAUUAAGUGUUAUUGAGGAAAAUAACACUGAUCAUGAUGAUAAUGCUUCAGGUACACUAAGUUUGGUGGAGCAGUUCCUUACAGAUUAUUGAAAGGCGGUGUCGCAUUGAGGACUAGGAGCAGGAGAUCUAAGGUGGUGAUGGAAGAGGAGGAAGAAGAUGAAAGUGAUGAAAUGAGUUAUACUUCUGAGAAAAUUAAAGAAAAGUGAUGAAAUGAGUUAUACUUUUGCAAUUUCUUAUGCAUAACUAAAAUUUGGAAAAGACUUUUUGUGUAGUUAGGAUUAUUGAUGUUUAUAUUAUUGGUAGGGAAAAAAUGUAAUGGAUCUAUUUUAAAUUUCGUCUAAACUAUUAAAUGAAAUGAAAGUGGUUUAUCAAUUUCAUAGGUUAA
This is a long non-coding RNA of Amaranthus tricolor (Joseph's coat), 1665 nucleotides long. RefSeq lists it as uncharacterized. Lineage: Eukaryota; Viridiplantae; Streptophyta; Magnoliopsida; Caryophyllales; Amaranthaceae. The transcript has 2 exons. The record is from RefSeq and is a predicted model, not a curated record.